Non-coding RNA from Magnetococcus sp., 117 nucleotides. Lineage: Bacteria; Pseudomonadati; Pseudomonadota; Magnetococcia; Magnetococcales; Magnetococcaceae. The record is from Rfam.
GAGAGUGUGGCCUCUCGGAAUCGGGUUGCAGGACCGGGUUUCAAACAGCGUCGAGCUGCUUAGGUAAAGAGCCUUGGUAGUGAGCGUCGGCGAAAAGGCGUUGUGGAAAACGUCAUG